GCUAUGCUUUUUAGGCUUGAACUUUAAGCGUUGUAAUCAUUAUUUGUUUUUUGUUAUUUAAGUUAAACUUUUGGUUGAAUAGUUGUUUUUUUGUUUUUAUUUAUUAAUAAUGGUUUAAAUAAGGGUUUAUGAAGCGGAUUAGUACCCGGGGUAAUCUUUUUUUAGUAAUGCGGGAGUAAAGUUUUGUUUAAACCGAAAAUAUAUUGGCUGGCCUUAGAGUGUUUCUUGGAAGAUGUAGAUUAAACGGAAAGUCCUCUUUAUUGAUUAUUUUUUUGGCUCAUGUAUGAUUGUUUUAACUUUAAUAUUAUUUAUUUUAUUUUAAGGUUUUUUUCUGUGAAAGCAGAUAGAUAUUUGGUAUAUAUUUAAUUUUCUAUGUGUUACAAUUUUUAGUUUAAUUGGAUAUUUUUUGAAAUUGGAAAGAAAAGUAAAUGUUUUUUUAUAUGAUGUUGAAUUAUUUAAGUAAGGUG
RNAcentral lists this ribosomal RNA (467 nucleotides) under Pterygodermatites tani. Its description in RNAcentral is "partial small subunit ribosomal RNA". Lineage: Eukaryota; Metazoa; Nematoda; Chromadorea; Rhabditida; Rictulariidae. The record is from RNAcentral.